Bos taurus (domestic cattle) is the source of this 482-nucleotide long non-coding RNA. Lineage: Eukaryota; Metazoa; Chordata; Mammalia; Artiodactyla; Bovidae. The record is from Ensembl.
ACUGUCCCCGUUUUACAAAUGGGAUCAACAAGGCUGAGGACAGUGAGCAGCUGGCAGGAGUCUGGUCCUCUUGGCUGUGUGUCGUUGGGGUGGUUGCAUCCCCUCUCUGGCUGGGCUAGAAGCACCUCUAGACCCAGUCACCUCUGGUGCUGCACCUGCGAAAACCAAAGCUGAGCCCAGGAGUGUGGACUGCAAGAGCUGCAAUCCCAGGACGUCCAAGGGUCCCACCUCCAUGGAAGCUGGUCGCCAAGGAAACCACUGCGGAGACCAUAGUCAGACCCGUGUCUUCCCUGCAGGGAAAUUCAGCCCUUACUCAUCUCUCCAUCCACAGCCGCCUCUUGGCGUGACCUCGGAAGGCGCUGCCAAACCCCAAGCGAGGAGUCCCCUCCCUCUCGCCGGGACCUUUCCCCAGGGGGCUGAAAGAAGGAAGCAGGGCUGGGAUGAGAAAGCCUAGGGCAGCAGAGCAAGCAUGGCCCUAGAAC